Long non-coding RNA from Uranotaenia lowii, 606 nucleotides. RefSeq lists it as uncharacterized. The transcript has 3 exons. NCBI's taxonomy places the organism in Eukaryota, Metazoa, Arthropoda, Insecta, Diptera, Culicidae. The record is from RefSeq and is a predicted model, not a curated record.
UCUUAUUUUCGAGUGCAAACUGGUUUUUUCGUCUUUUUGCAUCGCCGGUUUUUGCCGUGCAUGCAAAAGGACCCAAAAUAAAAUUCGUCGAGUUGGUUUUUGCGUCGUUGUGCAUCGUCGCGAGAAUUGCUCAGACAAGUGAUGGAAAUCGACGGAAAAGUACCAAGAAAACUUUCUGAAGGAAUGUUUUCAGUCCUAUCUAACGAAAAUGGAUAGCUGAAUUUGUUGUCGGAGGCAACCUGAGUAUUUUAGGAUGUAUACCUUUCGCAUUCCUUGAUCGGUCAUCGUAAUCACAGAUAGUGGUUUGAAAAUUUCUAUAGUGGAUCUCUAAACAGGCAAUCUAUUCAAGCAAUAAUUCAGGAUGCCCUUGGGCGAUAACUUUCAAGACCAUAUUGAAUGGAUUAUGGUUACUUAUGUUCCUUUAAGUGAUUUCGAAAUACCUAGAAAAGUUUCCGGCAAUCGUAAUCUGUUUUGAGUAUCAAAUUUACCGAAUGGUAAAAUGACGUUUGCGCCAAAUAAUAAAUGCAAUAAGACGUAAAUCCAACAUAAAUUACAUAACCACCAAGAAAGGCAGCUUGGAUUUUUAUGUGCUAAUUAUGACAAAAG